ACUCCUACGGGAGGCAGCAGUGGGAAUAUUGCACAAUGGGGGAAAGCCCAUGAUGCAGCCAUGCCGCGUGUGUGAAGAAGGCCUUCGGGUUGUAAAGACACUUUCAGUAGGGAGGAAGGUAGUGUGUUAACACCUGGCAUUAUUUUGACGUUACCUACAGAAGAAGCACCGGCUAACUCCGUGCCAGCAGCCGCGGUAAUACGGAGGGUGCGAGCGUUAAUCGGAAUUACUGGGCGUAAAGCGCAUGCAGGCGGCCUGUUAAGUCAGAUGUGAAAG
This 276-nucleotide ribosomal RNA is filed under the name uncultured bacterium. RNAcentral describes it as "partial 16S ribosomal RNA". It matches the Rfam family "Bacterial small subunit ribosomal RNA", at positions 335 to 600 of the family's 1533-position model. The record is from RNAcentral.